RNAcentral lists this ribosomal RNA (468 nucleotides) under uncultured bacterium. Its description in RNAcentral is "partial 16S ribosomal RNA". It matches the Rfam family "Bacterial small subunit ribosomal RNA", at positions 28 to 507 of the family's 1533-position model. The record is from RNAcentral.
GACGAACGCUGGCGGCGUGCUUAACACAUGCAAGUCGAACGGAAAGUCCCUGCUUUUGUGGGGUGCUCGAGUGGCGAACGUGUGUGUAACACGUGAGUCACCUGCCCUUGACUUUGGGAUAACUUCAGGAAACUUGGGCUAAUACCGGAUAGGAGCUCCUGCUCCAUGGUGGGGGUUGGAAAGUUUCGGCGGUUGGGGAUGGUCUCGCGGCUUAUCAGCUUGUUGGUGGGGUGGUGGCUUACCAAGGCGUUGACGGGUAGCCGGCCUGAGAGGGUGACCGGGCACAAUGGGACUGAGAUACGGCCCAGAAUCCGACGGGAGGCAGCAGUGGGGAAUAUUGCAAAAUGGGGGGAAGCCUGAUGCAGAAAAGCCGCGUGCGGGAUGACGGGCUUCGGGGUGUAAACCGCUUUCGCCUGUGACGAAGAGUGAGUGACGGUAAUGGGUAAAGAAGCACCGGCUAACUACGUG